CAAAGGAAGAGUAAGGAAAAGGACAUACGGCAGAAUAUUUGGUGGCACAGAAGCAAUCUCGGAAGUGAAAGGUCAUCGAUAUAGACUACCAUUCGAAUUGA
Long non-coding RNA from Etheostoma cragini (Arkansas darter), 101 nucleotides. RefSeq lists it as uncharacterized. The transcript is spliced from 3 exons. The record is from RefSeq and is a predicted model, not a curated record. NCBI's taxonomy places the organism in Eukaryota, Metazoa, Chordata, Actinopteri, Perciformes, Percidae.